UACGUAGGUGGCAAGCGUUGUCCGGAUUUAUUGGGUUUAAAGGACGCGUAGGCGGCCAGCACAAGUCAGUUGUGAAAUCUCCGAGCUUAACUCGGAAAGGUCAACUGAUACUGUGCGGCUAGAGUGCGGAAGGGGCAACUGGAAUUCUUGGUGUAGCGGUGAAAUGCGUAGAUAUCAAGAGGAACACCUGCGGCGAAGGCGGGUUGCUGGGCCGACACUGACGCUGAUGCGCGAAAGCUAGGGGAGCGAACGGG
This 254-nucleotide ribosomal RNA is filed under the name uncultured bacterium. RNAcentral's name for it is "partial 16S ribosomal RNA". It matches the Rfam family "Bacterial small subunit ribosomal RNA", at positions 524 to 776 of the family's 1533-position model. The record is from RNAcentral.